GUCUACAGCCAUACUACCCUGAACGUGUCUGAUCUUGGAAGCUAAGCAGGGUUGGGCCUGGUUAGUCCUUGGAUGGGAGAAU
Ribosomal RNA from Cricetulus griseus (Chinese hamster), 82 nucleotides. Lineage: Eukaryota; Metazoa; Chordata; Mammalia; Rodentia; Cricetidae. The record is from Ensembl.